GAAACAACUUUUGAGGUGCAUAAACUAUGACCAACAUCAGUGGCAGCUUUGUGGCGAUUUGAAGGUUGUUGCUCUCUUGCUUGGUCUGCAGACUGGAUACACAAAGUACUGCUGUUUUCUCUGCGAAUGGGAUAGUCGUGCAAGAGAGUCCCACUACAUCAAGAAAGACCCGCCACUCCGACAGUCAUUGGAGCCUGGGAGGAAAAGUGUUCAGCAUCCACCACUUGUUGAAUCAAGGAAGAUUUUGUUACCACCCUUACACAUCAAGCUGGGUCUGAUAAAGAACUUUGUCAAGGCCAUUGACAAAACACAAGCAGCUUUUAAGUACCUCCGUGGAAAAUUUCCAAGGUUAAGUGAAGCUAAGAUAAAGAAAGGUGUCUUUGUUGGUCCUCAGAUUUGUGAACUUCUUCGAGAUGAUGCAUUUGACCAUGCACUGCGUGGCAAGGAAAAGACAGCAUGGAAAGCCUUCCAGUUAGUGGCAAUAAAUUUUCUCGGAAACAACAAGGCAGACAACUACAGGUUGUUGGUGGAAAACCUCCUCAAGGCAUACAAAAGCCUUGGUUGCAACAUGUCACUAAAGAUACAUUUUUUGCACUCUCAUCUAGAUUUUUUUCCACUGAACUGCAGAGCAGUGAGCGACGAGCACGGCGAGCGAUUUCACCAGAACAUUGCAACAAUGGAGAAAUGCUAUCAGGGCAAAUGAAGCCCAUCAAUGCUUGCAGACUAUUGCUGGACAGUGACAAGAGAUGCUCCAUUUAAUGAAUACAAGAGACAAGCCAAGAAGCGCCGAGUAGACACUGAAUAGGACUGAACUAUGUACAUAAUAGUUUUUUGCCUUUUGUUUCAUAAUACACUUUAUUUAUAUAACCCGUUUGCUGAUUUUUAAAGUGUUACAUAAACAGGACAGGUGAAAUAUUAUCAUGUAAAGCAACCACAAACACAUGAAAAGACCUAGGUUUACAAUUUAUGAUUAAAACUCUACUAUCUACACAAUAUACAUAGACAUAAAAUGUAAAAACUUAAAUAUCUUAGAAACAAUAGCGAAUCAGUUGUUUUAAUU
This 1060-nucleotide long non-coding RNA is filed under the name Chrysemys picta bellii (western painted turtle). RNAcentral describes it as "lncRNA (ENSCPBG00000003179.1)". Lineage: Eukaryota; Metazoa; Chordata; Testudines; Emydidae. The record is from RNAcentral.